This 223-nucleotide unclassified non-coding RNA is filed under the name uncultured fungus. Its description in RNAcentral is "sequence contains ITS2". RNAcentral also lists the same sequence under 1 other name. Lineage: Eukaryota; Fungi. The record is from RNAcentral.
AAAUUAUCAACCAUGACUUGGGUUUAGGCCCUCGUUCACGGCUUGGAUUUGGGUGCUUGCGGCCUCGCGCUGCUCACCUCAAAAGGAUUAGCUGGACAUGUCGCUUGACUUGGUUCUACUUGGCGUAAUAAGUAUUUCGCUGAGGACAUCCCUCGGGGUGGCCAGGACUCGCGGCUGACGUCUGCUUUCUAACUCGACUGUCCUCGGACAUCACUUUUUUAUG